UCAAAUUAGUUCUCGAAGUUUUUAUUUGGAAUUUUCUUUAUUUUCCUUAGUCAUUUUACUUUUAUAACAAUUAAGAAUUAUUAACCUUCAGGAUUUAUUUUUUCUCUGUAAUUUAGUGCUUUUCAUGCGUCCUUUACUUGAUGGGGGUGGUUUUCUUUCAUUUUUUGGAUUUUAUCGGCUGCCUUCCUAAUGGGCUGAGGCUGGCUAGGUUGUUUGUUAUUGGCUUCUUUGUGGACUGGGUUUGCAGGCUACUCCAGAGUCCAGACUUUGGAUUGGCUAACUCAAGCAGCUUGGGUGAGCUUCGUCAAAACAAAUAGCCUUUGAUUCCUCACCUUCUCUACUCCUUCUACCUGGCUUCACUUCAGCUGGCAUCUUUUUUGUUCAGUUUUUAGAGUUUUGAUGUUCGUUUAUCAGCCACUCUUCAUGUUACCCAUUGGUUUCUUCCUGGCUUUUGUCUUCUUAAAGACUCAAUGGUUCUGUGCUGGCUUGUCGGGGACGAGCAUUUGGUUCGUAUAAUUAGGUGACAGCUUCAGUUUAGAGCUUGGAGACAGCACACCAAUUGCAUCGUUCUUGGAUGAUGAGGCUGGAUCGUCAAACCAUGAUGGUUCGCCCCCUACAAAAAAAGGCACGCACAGCACAGCAAAUGUUGAGGCUCAAGCUAUUUUUCUUGCUGAGUAGACUGUCUAUAUUAUGGAUUUUCUUUUGCUGUUUUUAUUAAACCAUGUUGUAUAUCCCACUGUCGAGGGCUUGGGUUUUAUGCAAAGGAAUCGCACCACUGCCUUUGCCUGGCAAUUUUUCGA
This is a long non-coding RNA of Populus trichocarpa (black cottonwood), 800 nucleotides long. RefSeq lists it as uncharacterized. The record is from RefSeq and is a predicted model, not a curated record. Lineage: Eukaryota; Viridiplantae; Streptophyta; Magnoliopsida; Malpighiales; Salicaceae. The transcript is spliced from 2 exons.